Molecule: ribosomal RNA, 914 nt
Filed under: Natrinema sp.
Lineage: Archaea; Methanobacteriati; Methanobacteriota; Halobacteria; Halobacteriales; Natrialbaceae
Description: bacterial SSU rRNA
Rfam family: Archaeal small subunit ribosomal RNA
Source: RNAcentral
UUUUUUCCGGGGGUUUUGUCUGCCGGAGGUCAUUGCUAUUGGAGUCCGAUUUAGCCAUGCUAGUUGCACGAGUUUAGACUCGUAGCAGAUAGCUCAGUAACACGUGGCCAAACUACCCUAUGGAUCCGAAUAACCUCGGGAAACUGAGGCUAAUGCGGAAUAGCGUUCAUCGCCUGGAGUGGCACGAACGCGAAACGUUACGGCGCCAUAGGAUGUGGCUGCGGCCGAUUAGGUAGACGGUGGGGUAACGGCCCACCGUGCCCAUAAUCGGUACGGGUUGUGAGAGCAAGAGCCCGGAGACGGUAUCUGAGACAAGAUACCGGGCCCUACGGGGCGCAGCAGGCGCGAAACCUUUACACUGCACGCGAGUGCGAUAAGGGGACUCCGAGUGCGAGGGCAUAUAGUCCUCGCUUUUCACGACCGUAAGGUGGUCGUAGAAUAAGUGCUGGGCAAGACCGGUGCCAGCCGCCGCGGUAAUACCGGCAGCACGAGUGAUGACCGCUAUUAUUGGGCCUAAAGCGUCCGUAGCUGGCCACGCAAGUCUAUCGGGAAAUCCGCGCGCUUAACGCGCGGGCGUCCGGUGGAAACUGCGUGGCUUGGGACCGGAAGACCAGAGGGGUACGUCCGGGGUAGGAGUGAAAUCCCGUAAUCCUGGACGGACCACCGGUGGCGAAAGCGCCUCUGGAAGACGGAUCCGACGGUGAGGGACGAAAGCUCGGGUCACGAACCGGAUUAGAUACCCGGGUAGUCCGAGCUGUAAACGAUGUCUGCUAGGUGUGGCACAGGCUACGAGCCUGUGCUGUGCCGUAGGGAAGCCGUGAAGCAGACCGCCUGGGAAGUACGUCCGCAAGGAUGAAACUUAAAGGAAUUGGCGGGGGAGCACUACAACCGGAGGAGCCUGCGGUUUAAUGAUC